This is a non-coding RNA of Fundulus heteroclitus (mummichog), 1158 nucleotides long. Lineage: Eukaryota; Metazoa; Chordata; Actinopteri; Cyprinodontiformes; Fundulidae. The record is from the annotation of a RefSeq genome assembly.
AUGUUGUGUCUUCUAGUUGUACUCUUUUUUUCAAAGAAGCAAGUUUACUGCCAGGAUGUCAUCCAGGAGCCGACGAUCAGCUGGAGUUUUGAGUCCAAGUCUGCAGAGUUGAAAUGCAGCCACAAGAAAGAUAUAACUUAUAAUCAAAUGUACUGGUACAGACAGCGUCCAGGGGAGACCAUGACUCUGAUUGUUUACACGGCGUUUGGUGGCCAGCCUGACUACGGAGAGAGCCCUCAAAGCAAAUACUCAGCAGUCAAAGACAGCAUAGAGACCGGAGCUCUGACUGUGAACGACCUGCAGCCUGAUGACGGUGGCGUGUAUUUCUGUGCUGUCAGCAAACACAACGGUGGAGACUUCGAUCCUGCUUAUUUUGGCAGAGGCACCAAACUCACAGUUUUGGAAGCUGGAAAAAACAUCAAUUUUCCAACAGUGAAAAUUAUUCAACCUUCAGCAAAUGAGUGCAGAGACCAAAACAAACCAAAGGGGAAAAGGAGGAAGACGCUGGUCUGUGUGGCCUCUGAUUUCUACCCAGAUCAUGUCAGCGUGUUCUGGCAGCUCAAUAACCAGAGCAUCACUGAUGGCGUGGCCACUGACCCCGCCGCCAAGAGGGAUGCAGACACAGGAAAUUACACCAUCACCAGCCGGCUGAGAGUCCUUGCAAAGCACUGGUUCGAACCCCAGAAUGAAUUCAGGUGCAUCGUCAAAUUCUUUGAUGGAAAGGAACACAUCGAAGAAUCAGCCAGAGUUUCAUCAAAUGAAAAAGAUAAAGGCAUGACACGAGAAAACUACCUGAAGAUCACCCAGAACGCCAAACUCUCCUACGGCGUCCUGAUCGUCAAGAGCUGCCUCUACGGAGCCUUCGUCUGCUUUCUGGUGUGGAAGCUGCAGAGCUCACCAAGAAAACGCAACAAGUGAGAGCUGAACUGAAGCCCGAACCAGCCAAUAGGCUCCAGGAAAAGCUUUUUUAGCUUCUGUAAAUAAGAUAUAGCUGGAAAAAAAGUGUGUAUGUCUGUUGGUUUCCAUUUAAACCUUCAGAAUCUUAAAAACUUGUAUUUUUUCUUUUAAAGUCUGAAAGCUCAAAUUUUUACGGUCUUUGUUUCUGUUCAAACCUUUUCUCUCUUGAUCCUUUCACUUUCUUCUCAAUAAAGACAUGUA